Non-coding RNA from Gossypium arboreum, 157 nucleotides. The record is from Rfam. NCBI's taxonomy places the organism in Eukaryota, Viridiplantae, Streptophyta, Magnoliopsida, Malvales, Malvaceae.
UAUUAAAUUUUCUAUCAAUUUGUUCUUUUAAAAAUUGACAAGGUUGUCAGAAUAACCAGACAAAUAACCAGACAAUAACAAAUGGCAUGCCAUUUUUACCUCAUGUCGACAUACAACGACCAGUUUUUAAUAGUAAAAAUGGAUGAAAUAUUUAACA